Molecule: small RNA, 557 nt
Filed under: Pongo abelii (Sumatran orangutan)
Lineage: Eukaryota; Metazoa; Chordata; Mammalia; Primates; Hominidae
Description: processed transcript
Source: RNAcentral
GCGAAACUGGGCGGCUGAGCGUGGAGGUGGGAGAAUCACUUGAGCUCAGAAGGUUGAGGUUGCUGUGAGCUGUGAUUACACCACUCUACUCUAGCCUGGGCAACAGAGUGAGACCCUGUCUCAAAAAGGAAAACAAAAAAGAUUCUACUGAGGGGGAGAGGGUACUGAGCUUGGGCCCCUCAUAGUAACCUGGGUGGAAGGUUUUGAGAUCUUUGAUUAGGGUUCUAACCUGGGCUUGCGUAUCCUGAAAUUGCAUGCAGGUGUUCUGAGGAGAGUGGCUCUAUAGCUUCUGUUAACUUCAUUAGUGGCAACAGAGUAUGUAGGGGUCAGGCUCUUGCUCCCUGGGCAAGUUAUGUGACUUUGUCAAACUUGAGUUUCCUCAUCAGUAAAAUGGGGAUAAGGACAGUCCUUCAUCUCUCAGAGGGCUGCUUGAAAAUGCUUGUCGUGUUUAGCACAAUUCCUUCAUGCAGAUUACGUAAUCAGGAUGUGUGAUUUUCCAAGCAGUUCAUCAAUCCUGAAAACUUACGAAGCGGGUAUGGGAAGAGGGGAGUUGGAAG